This 7038-nucleotide long non-coding RNA is filed under the name Brachypodium distachyon (stiff brome). RNAcentral's name for it is "long non-coding RNA (BDIS_LNC005886)". The record is from RNAcentral. Lineage: Eukaryota; Viridiplantae; Streptophyta; Magnoliopsida; Poales; Poaceae.
UUUUCCUUAUUUCUCUGGAAUUUCAUUGCCAUCCCCCUCCUCCCCAUCAGCUCUCUCCGCUUCUCCAUGCUUGGCGUUCCUCCCUAUAGCCCAUCUCGCCCAAUCCCCAUCGCUCCCAUCCCAUCCCCAUACCGGUCUCUUCUCUCGUGUUCAUCCCAACCAGGGGGGUGUCUCAAGCUGGCGAAAUGCCUUCCUUUGCCUCUUCCCGGGUACUGUUUCUUCUGUUCUAAGUCUAUGCGCGUCUUUGUUUGAUCUGGUUAGGGUUUGGUAGUUAGGCUUGUGAUUUGAUACCUGUUUGAUUCUGUUAAGUACUGUUGGGAGCUGUUCAUUUCGGGGUUUCGUAGUUAAUAACUGUUUGAUCAUGUUGCUGUGAAUUGCGUAUAUUGAACUGAUUUGGUCUAGGAUUUUAUUUGGGGUUUAUUGACUCUAGACAUGGUUCUAAUCAGGUGACUUAUCUUGUGUUCUUGUCUUAGUACCCUAGUUUAUUUGGGGGUUUGGCCGUUCACAAUCUGUUUGAUUCCCUGUUGAUUGCUUUUUUUUUUUGAAGUGGAUUCCCUGUUAAUUGCUAUGAUUGGCAAAAUAUUUGUCUCCAUUGAGAGUUACUGAUUUGAGUAAUCUUACGUUCUCUAUUCCUGUCAUGCCAUUUGUUACGUUUAGCUGGAAUUCCAGAUAAAUGUUAAGAAGUUUGACUUACGACAAAGCUAGGGCAUCUUAUAUUUAGGAACGGACGUAGUACCUUUUUUGUGUGCAGUACUGUGUCCUUCUGGUCUAAUGAGUUAGUGUUUUGAGUAUUGUCUGGUUCCUUCGGUCCUUCCUAAUGUUUAUAUUGAUUUUUUGGACGGUACUCUAUAUCGUCUUGGUUCUAAUGUUAUAACCCUCCUGUCUUUGUUUAGUUCAUUUAGAAAUGCCUCAUUUUGUGUUAAUGGUGCUAUUAAUGGGCUGUGCAAGUGUACAUUACUGUGUAUUCUCAUGAUGCUACUGCUGCUGUAAUUGUUUGUAUACCGCCCUUCUUGAUUCUAAUGUUGCAUCUAAUUGUUAUGCAUAUUCAUAGCGCAAGGGUUCAUUUCAGUAGGGAGUAUAUUCGCUGACACCACUCCUUUUAAUAACUGUUUGAUCAUGUUGCUGCGAAUUGCGUAUAUUGUACUGAUUUGGUCUAGGCGUUUAUUGAUUCUAGACAUGGUUCUAGUUUCGUUACGUAUCAUUAUGGUCUUGUCUCCGUUUAUCUGGGGAUUUGGCAGUUCAUGAUCUAUUUGAUUCCAUGUUAAUUGUGAUGAGUGGCAAAUUGUUUGCCUCCAUUGGGAUUUAGUGAUGAGACUGGUUUUUCUAUUCUCGAGUGUGUUGCUCCACUAAUCUGGAUCGUCUGACUGAAUGGAAACGGAGGGCAGAUAGGUAUGGGUGACGACAUAUGCAGUGGCUCAGCAGACGGCGUCUGACGGCAUGGACGUUGUUCACGUUUGUCCGAUUGAUGUAGUACGACCUACAAACAAUAGUGAUGUCCAAAAAAAAAAUCCCUGUUUCGUGCACUACACAGCUACGGAUCUGGAUCUCUCUAUACGUUGCACUAAUAUAAUUUUUCCUCCCCCAAACAAUAGUGAUGUCGUACCUACAUGUCAUGUCUGAUUUACUUUGAAUAGUACAAGUAUUUUCCAGAUGCGAUUGAAAGCCAUGACGCACGUGUCCAAAAAGGACGUGAUAUUCGACACCAUGACUGUUGUGUAAUACUCGCUCUGAUCAUAAAUUCUUGACUUAAAUUUGCUCAAAUAUGAAUAUAUAUCUAUUUUUAAAAAACGUCUAGAUACAUGUAAUAUUUCGACAACAAUUUAGGAUCGGAGGGAGUAGUAGAUUUCGAUUGCACCCAAAGGGUAUGGGUUGCAGAUCAGAGAAGUGGUGUGAACUGUUGAUUUUUUUACCAGAGAUUUCAUUUCAUGUGUGUCUAUACAUACAUACAUACAUACAUACAUAUACAUACAUACAUACAUAUAUAUAUACAUAUAUAUAUAUAUAUAUACACACAUUAUAUAUAUAUAUACAAACAUAUAUCGUAGAUCAGAAAAGUGGUGUGAACUGUUGAUUUUUUUACCAGAGAUUUCAUUUCUGUGUGUGUCUAUACAUAUACAUAUACAUCAAUUCUCUCACUCAAAAACAUGUGUUUUCUCUCUCUCUGCACAUAUAUCCAUUCUCUCUUAAGAAUAUGUAUUUUUUCUAUCUAUUCGAUUUCGCCUCUCUCUCCAUACACACACUUUCUCUCUCUCUCUCAAGAAUGUAUGUUUUCUCUCUCUAUAUAUACAUAUCCAUUCUCUCUCAAGUAUAUGUGUUUUGUUUGUCUAUUAGAUUCAUUCUCUCUCAAGCAUAUGUGUUUUCGUGUACUUCGAUUUAGUCUCUCUCUCUCAAUAUAUGUACACACACAUUCUCUCAAGAAUAUUUGUUUUCUCUCUAUAUAUACAUAUCCAUUUUCUCUCAAAAAUAUGUGUUUCAUCUGUUUAUUUGAUCCACGACUACAGUUUCUCUCUUGUACCCAACAUGGAAGGCAAAUUCUCCCGUACCCAAUACUCCAUCCACCUCCAACGGAGCAUUGGGGAAGGGCAUAUCAGUCAUUUCACAUUUAUGCAUUACUAGUAAAAAAAAAAGAAAAACCCCUCACCAGUCACCCCCGAGCCCGAGCCCUGUCAUCCCUGGAUUCUGUCUCCGCCGCCGCCCUCGGCCAGGUUUUUGGGCGGCGGAGGAUAUCCGGGGAGGAGGGGUUCGGAGAAAAGGCGUGGCUGGUUGCCGCUCGGUGUAGGGGGGUGAGAGCAUAUCUCCAGCAGAUACGGAAAGGGGAAAUUUGGACACCCGUUAUUUGUUGGCCUUUGCUCAAACACACUUUUCAAUCGUGUCUUUACUGAGUAUCAUUAUGAUUUUGUGUUCAUUUGUUACAACACAUUUUGACGUGUGGAACUCUAUUGUCAGUCACUCAAUGGCCCUCUUCCCUCUUUGGUUACCAGCCGAGUAACGGCGCCGGACCCGUCCGUACAGAACUGCAGAUGGCCGGCGCAGCAGAACCACAACGAUCCGCCCGAAUCGAUGGGUAGGAAGCCACAAGGAGAAAGAAGCUGCAGAGGAAGAGAGAUCUCGUCUUCCUCGUAGAGCCCACUCCAGUCAUUGUGUCGCCGCCCACACAAGCGCUUGCCGCUGCGACAGUCGAGCCCCGCCGAGCUCCCCUCCGCUGCAGAUGGCCGCGCCGCGCCGACACCACCGCCCGACGCGCACCCCGCCGGCCGCCGUGCCUCGUGCUGCUGCUUUCUUCGCGCCCGACGAGCCCACGAGCUUGCCCGCCUCCACCGCCCGCGAGCCGUCCCUAGCGCCUGCCGCACGCUCACACACCGUAGUGGAGGCAGCCGCACGGGGCUGUGUCGGGAUAGAAAGCCGCGGAGUCGACGUGGGGACGCUGUUGGUGGUCAUCGAAUCGAUUCUCUCCUACGUCUGUGUCGCUUACGUGAAUUCUACACAAGCUAGCUACUGAUCGUUUUUUGAUAGGCUACUUGUAUGCACGCAUCUCGCCGGAGUUCAUCGCCGCGUCGGAAGUAAUUGGCGUGCUGCACGUGUGUUACAAUCUUGUGGUCUGAAACCAACAGGCGCAGGCCGCAGGUCAUGCCAGAGGAGGAAGAAGGUCAUUGAGUGGCUGACAAUGGAGCUCCACAUGUCAGAGUGUGUUGUAACAAAUGGACACAAAAUCAUAAUGGUACUCAGCAAAGACACGAUUGAAGGAUGUGUUUGAGCAAAAGACACGAAAUAACGGUGUUCAAGAGCAAAUUUCCCCAUACGGAAAAGAUGCUCGAUCCGAAAAAUAACCGUUACUUCAAUGGGUUAGGAAAAAAAAACUGUCCGGAAACAAGGUCCGAUCUGAAUUUUUUUCGGGGAUCCGAAUCCGCGGAGGAGAAACCCAAUAUCUUCGGUGUCCAAUCUUGUCGAAACAGGUGACCCGAUCUCUUGAAAACGGUUGGUUUCACCCGUGCUUGUCCAGAAGAGCCUUCUUCCUCCUGAAGCCGCCGCUGAUCCAGCCUCCUCAGGAUGCCGCCGCCGGCCCGCUGCUAGCUCGCGCGCCCCGCCCCUGCUGACUGCACCUCGCUGACUGCAACCAACUUAGUACUCAAACAUUUAAUUUGAUUAUUUCUCAGUUGGCGAGGUAGCAAAGAAGAUCUAGAGGUAAAUCAUCAAUCAUGGAUAAGAAAAAGAAAAUAGACAAAAAUGAAAAAAUUCCGCGACUGGAUUGAGAAGUGAGAGAGAAGGUUGAGAUAUCGAUGCUCUGCUUCGGUGCAUAGCCGGAAAGAAAAUGGAGAAAGAAAAGAAUAAAAAAUGAAUGGGGCCCACUAAAGAUUAGAGGCUAAGCACUAAGCUGCGUUACCAAUUCUUUGGGUAACGUUUUCGCCGUAGCUGGCGAAGUGAGGACGGGCUGGGCGAGCCAAAAUUUUUUAAUUUUUUUUGAGAGGUGGUGAGCCAAUUUUUCGGUAUGGCUCAUUUUGGUUGUAAAACAAACGGGUCCUUUCUGUUUGGCUCGGUCCGUUGGUGAGAUAUAAGUUAACUCUCUCUACCCAGUCUAAUAAUAGCUCAGCCCGUAAAAGAGAAAAGCAUUUCAACACCAUUCGCCCCCCUAUAGUCCCUCCCUACCUCCUCUUUUCUCCAGUCUCCUGAAUCCUGAUCCCCCCAGUCUUCCGAUUCCCCACUGCUAACCCUAGCCGCCAGGCAUUACCGGACAGCCAGGUCGGCGCCACCAUGCCCCCCACGCCGCCUCUAGUCCUAACUCGGCAACUCCUGACCGCCUGCUCGCCAUCGUGCGGCAGAGCCGCUUACAGGAACCGCUGGCGAGAAGACCCCUCAUCGGCUCCUCUCUGGAUACAUCGGCUCCUCUCUGGAUCUCGUUCAUCUACUGAGUCCGGCGCAAUGGUGUUCCGCCGUGUCACUGGGCGACCCUAGGCCUCGGCGGCGGCAACCGAGCCGUGCCGGCAUCCAGAUCCGGUCUUUCCCCGUUACCAGUGACAUAAAGCUUCCGCCUUUCCGAUCUUGGGCCUCGCCGGCGGCAACCGUGAAGGAGCUUCGACGGCGCUGUUGCAUGCGUUGGUGCAUCGCAACGGUGCUACUGCGCCUGUAGAUGAUGAAGAGGGAGAGGGCGCCUUCGGCAACCGUCGCAGGUCACCAUGCUUCUUCUCUAUACUCUUUUUAUGAAUUGUUUUUGGAUUUUUUUUCAAAUUAAACAUUUCACAUCUCCUUUUCGCCACAUUGUUUUAGGUUUUUUUUGGAGCGAGUGAGAUUUUAUUUACUAACUCUGUUCUUUUUUCCAAAAAACUUUGAACGAUAGAUCAGACUCUGCUUAUCUUUUCUAUGUCAAUACAAUCGUGCUAUGUUAUUUAUUUUUGCCUAAACCUAAUUUUUUAGGUCGAAUAUUGGGUUCUCUUUUGAGAAUCCAAACUGGCAAGUCCAGACAUUCUUGGCCCGUUCACCGCCGAGUUACACAAGUGUUUUCAUUGUGGGCCGACUAAUGUGUACGGGCUUUCGUGGGCUGACUCGAGAAUACUAGCAAGCACAUUUAGAUUCCUCUGUAAACACCAGUAUCCCAUCCCUAAAAGAAAAGGAACACAUACAACAGUCAGCCGUGUGCCCGUGUCACACUAAUCUACCCUCUAUAAAAACCGGCGACUCCAUCUCUUUUUUCCUUAUUUCUCUGGAAUUUCAUUGCCAUCCCCCUCCUCCCCAUCAGCUCUCUCCGCUUCUCCAUGCUUGGCGUUCCUCCCUAUAGCCCAUCUCGCCCAAUCCCCAUCGCUCCCAUCCCAUCCCCAUACCGGUCUCUUCUCUCGUGUUCAUCCCAACCAGGGGGGUGUCUCAAGCUGGCGAAAUGCCUUCCUUUGCCUCUUCCCGGGUACUGUUUCUUCUGUUCUAAGUCUAUGCGCGUCUUUGUUUGAUCUGGUUAGGGUUUGGUAGUUAGGCUUGUGAUUUGAUACCUGUUUGAUUCUGUUAAGUACUGUUGGGAGCUGUUCAUUUCGGGGUUUCGUAGUUAAUAACUGUUUGAUCAUGUUGCUGUGAAUUGCGUAUAUUGAACUGAUUUGGUCUAGGAUUUUAUUUGGGGUUUAUUGACUCUAGACAUGGUUCUAAUCAGGUGACUUAUCUUGUGUUCUUGUCUUAGUACCCUAGUUUAUUUGGGGGUUUGGCCGUUCACAAUCUGUUUGAUUCCCUGUUGAUUGCUUUUUUUUUUUGAAGUGGAUUCCCUGUUAAUUGCUAUGAUUGGCAAAAUAUUUGUCUCCAUUGAGAGUUACUGAUUUGAGUAAUCUUACGUUCUCUAUUCCUGUCAUGCCAUUUGUUACGUUUAGCUGGAAUUCCAGAUAAAUGUUAAGAAGUUUGACUUACGACAAAGCUAGGGCAUCUUAUAUUUAGGAACGGACGUAGUACCUUUUUUGUGUGCAGUACUGUGUCCUUCUGGUCUAAUGAGUUAGUGUUUUGAGUAUUGUCUGGUUCCUUCGGUCCUUCCUAAUGUUUAUAUUGAUUUUUUGGACGGUACUCUAUAUCGUCUUGGUUCUAAUGUUAUAACCCUCCUGUCUUUGUUUAGUUCAUUUAGAAAUGCCUCAUUUUGUGUUAAUGGUGCUAUUAAUGGGCUGUGCAAGUGUACAUUACUGUGUAUUCUCAUGAUGCUACUGCUGCUGUAAUUGUUUGUAUACCGCCCUUCUUGAUUCUAAUGUUGCAUCUAAUUGUUAUGCAUAUUCAUAGCGCAAGGGUUCAUUUCAGUAGGGAGUAUAUUCGCUGACACCACUCCUUUUAAUAACUGUUUGAUCAUGUUGCUGCGAAUUGCGUAUAUUGUACUGAUUUGGUCUAGGCGUUUAUUGAUUCUAGACAUGGUUCUAGUUUCGUUACGUAUCAUUAUGGUCUUGUCUCCGUUUAUCUGGGGAUUUGGCAGUUCAUGAUCUAUUUGAUUCCAUGUUAAUUGUGAUGAGUGGCAAAUUGUUUGCCUCCAUUGGGAUUUAGUGAUGAGACUGGUUUUUCUAUUCUCGAGUGUGUUGCUCCACUAAUCUGGAU